GCUUGUGGCUACAUCAACUCUCUGAUUAACGGACGCGCUGCUGGUCGAUAACAGUUGUUCAGUCUGGCUGCCACCAUCAAGGAAUACGAAAUCAACAUCGACGACGCAAAGAAGUCUGAAUUGUGAGCUGCCCAGCAACGAGGCGGGGAUCAUCUGGGACAGCAUCUGCUUCGCUCCUGGCUGCUGCAGAGACGAGUCUUUCCAUGAGCUACUACUUCCUGCAUCGGGUGGCCGACUCAGGGCGUCGCAGAUUCCUCGCCGUGCAGAGGGGCGGAGCUCUUCCAAGCUACGAUCGUGAAGGCGUGAGAGCCCGACUGAGAAGAGGAGCGCAAAUC
Notothenia coriiceps (black rockcod) is the source of this 335-nucleotide long non-coding RNA. RefSeq lists it as uncharacterized. The record is from RefSeq and is a predicted model, not a curated record. The transcript is spliced from 3 exons. NCBI's taxonomy places the organism in Eukaryota, Metazoa, Chordata, Actinopteri, Perciformes, Nototheniidae.